Molecule: long non-coding RNA, 1417 nt
Organism: Esox lucius (northern pike)
Lineage: Eukaryota; Metazoa; Chordata; Actinopteri; Esociformes; Esocidae
Source: Ensembl
GCACAGGGCUCUACAUCAUGGUGCUCUACAGCACAGGGCUCUACAUCAUGGUGCUCUACAGCACAGGGCUCUAAUGCCUUUAUGUCUGUAUUAUGAGGAAAAUUAUUGGACUUAAUUGUUUUUAAUGAAAUAAUAGGUAAUUAGUAAUAAUUUGUUUGAGAAACGAUUAUAUCUCAGUAAAAUUAUGUGGAUUCAUCUUUAUGCCCUUUAUAACCAACACAAAUAUAGUAUUGUAACUAUAACUUACUUGCUAAAGGCCAAAGUGCCAAAGGCCCUGAGGUCCGGUUCAGCAUCAAACAAUCAGAAAUGGAGAAGGCAUGUAAAUCUAUAUGUAAACACAAUGAAUGCCAGGUUGUAACCUUGUACUCUGUAUUCUCUUAAAUACAAAUCCCGAUUUCAUACCUGCUGAUCUACUUAAGUCAUAUUUAACAUAGACAACACCUAAUGACAUCAGUGCCUCUGUGUUUCAGAGGACAUUUUCACGGUGCCCCAGUCAUAAGCUUGAGUCACUGUGGCUAUAGGUCUAACGUCAUCCCCACUUCACUGCGGCUAUAGCAAUAGGUCUAACGUCAUCCCCACUUCACUGUGGCUAUAGCAAUAGGUCUAACGUCAUCCCCACUUCACUGCGGCUAUAGGUCUAACGUCAUCCCCACUUCACUGCGGCUAUAGCAAUAGGUCUAACGUCAUCCCCACUUCGCUGUGGCUAUAGCAAUAGGUCUAACGUCAUCCCCACUUCACUGCGGCUAUAGCAAUAGGUCUAACGUCAUCCCCACUUCACUGCGGCUUUAGCAAUAGGUCUAACGUCAUCCCCACUUCACUGUGGCCUCCUCCGCCACACCCACACUCCAGAAUCCACCCGUGUCUGGAGCAACCGUGGAACUGGGAAACUGCGAUGGCAAUUAUGGACAAUAAAACGUACCAAGUGGUCGAGUUGUACCUGGCUAAUCUUUUCCGUAUGAAGACAAACCCCUCACACAGUGUGGGACAUUGUCUUCCUGACACUUUGCUCUUCCUCUUCAAACCUCCCCCUCAUCCUCAUGAUGUUGCCUACCUUCCCCCGCGUGGGUGAUCAAGCCCGCAUCCUCAUGGAGUGAUCUAGUCCGUCCGUCAAAUAGGGGUCCAGCCGCUCCCUUCAUUAAGUGGUCCAGCCUCCCUCUCUUGAGGUGGUCUAAGUCUCUCCCCCAUGAAGGUGUCUAGCCUCCCCCUUUCUAAUGUGUAAUAAAUACUGUGAACGUCUCCCAGGCUUUCUUCCCUGUCUGGCUCAGUUGGUGGAAUGCAGUCAGAGCCUCGGCCAUCUCUCUCCCACCCACAUUAACUCUCAUUAUCUAGGGCUAAAUAAACCCAGGAAGAGUUUGAGUGAUAAUGCAAAUCUGUAAACAGUGCAUUAAAUAAAUAGCAGUACAAUGUGUUGUCUUCC